Heterocephalus glaber (naked mole-rat) is the source of this 428-nucleotide long non-coding RNA. RefSeq lists it as uncharacterized. Lineage: Eukaryota; Metazoa; Chordata; Mammalia; Rodentia; Bathyergidae. The record is from RefSeq and is a predicted model, not a curated record.
UGUGAACCCUGCUGCGUUUCUCUGAAGAAUACAAGGCAGUACACAUCUCUGCUGAAAUUAACUGAUACCUUUGAUAGUUUAAAAUAAUUUAUAUUGAAUUGAAGAAGUUUAUCAGUAAGCUUCAGAAGCACAGAAAAUAUACUGAAUACAUUGAAUUUUCACUUCUGUCAACAUACAUUUGUUUUAUAGAAAUGGGGAGCAAUAUUGAAGGUAUACAUCCCAAAACCACAUUGGAAGCCUGAACUUGAAGAAAGAAUUAAAACUACACUUUACAGCUUCUCGACAGCAUCACCACUCUUGCACUUUAGGCAUAUUAAGUAAAAUAAAGAUUAUGUGAACAUAAGCACUGUGAUCUUGUGACAGUUGACUUGAUAGGUGACGUGGCUACUGACUAAUUGAUGGGUUGCAAACAAAGGGUUGAUUAUUUC